CAAUAGCGUAUAUUAAAGUUGUUGCAGUUAAAAAGCCUCGAUAGUUGGACUUCUGGCAGGGCGCCGCGUGCCACAGUAGUGUGCACAAGGGCCCGGCCAUCCUUCUGUAAAACGUCGGGGAAGUUUAUUCGUCCGCGGCGGGAUCAGUUAAUUUACCUUGAGAAAAUUAGAGUGUUUCAGGCAGGCGUAGCCGGAAUACAUUAGCAUGGAAUAAUGGAAUAGGACUUAGUCUCUUUGUUGGUUCGAGGGACUGGAGUAAUGAUUAAUAGGGAUAGUUGGGGGCAUUAGUACUUAACUGUCAGAGGUGAAAUUCUUGGAUUUGUUAAAGACUAACUUAUGCGAAAGCAUUUGCCAAGGAUGUUUUCAUUAAUCAAGAACGAAAGUUAGGGGAUCAAAGACGAUUAGAUACCA
Molecule: ribosomal RNA, 411 nt
Filed under: uncultured eukaryote
Lineage: Eukaryota
Description: SSU rRNA
Rfam family: Eukaryotic small subunit ribosomal RNA
Source: RNAcentral